UGUCGGUCCGAAAGCAGUGGGUUAUUUACAAUUGAUUGAUACAGUCAAGUACAGAAUUCCUUGUUUCUUCUCUCCCCUCUCCCACUGCUGAACUUGACUGGCUUUUU
The sequence is a Y RNA, 107 nucleotides long. It matches the Rfam family "Y RNA". From Rfam's summary of the family: Y RNAs are components of the Ro ribonucleoprotein particle (Ro RNP), in association with Ro60 and La proteins. The record is from Ensembl.